RNAcentral lists this transfer RNA (720 nucleotides) under Bradyrhizobium sp. TUTCSA3A. Its description in RNAcentral is "partial 16S-23S ribosomal RNA intergenic spacer". The stretch from base 83 to 156 matches the Rfam family "tRNA". The record is from RNAcentral. Lineage: Bacteria; Pseudomonadati; Pseudomonadota; Alphaproteobacteria; Hyphomicrobiales; Nitrobacteraceae.
CUUCGUUUCUCUUUCUUCGCGGACGAACACGCGCUGGGCCUGCAACGGCAGGAUCCAGGGUCCUUAACGGGAUGUGCGUUAGGGGCUUGUAGCUCAGUUGGUUAGAGCGCGCGCUUGAUAAGCGUGAGGUCGGAAGUUCAAGUCUUCCCAGGCCCACCACUUUCAUCGAGUGAGCAUUCGUCUUCUGGUUACGGGGCCAUAGCUCAGCUGGGAGAGCGCGUGCUUUGCAAGCAUGAGGUCGUCGGUUCGAUCCCGUCUGGCUCCACCAGAUGGUUUGAUCACCGAGAUCUUGACCGUCGUCCGCGAAACAUCACUUCGCAUCCUGCUAGUCUGGAUAGACAGCAGUUUGCGUGUUUUCUGACAUCGUAAAGAGGAGAUCGAUCCGAGUUGGGUCGUGCAGCAUAUCGUUGCGCGAGCCUUCAUUAUCUCCGGAUCAUUUCGGCGCUCGCUUCCAGCCGUGAGGUUGGAUGCGGGUUGUAAAUGAUCCUUUUAGCGAAGCUUGACCGCCUCGCUAUCGGAACGAUCUUACGAAGCAAGCUGGUCUUUCUAGUCAAUGUCCGGCUGCGGAUAGCGUUCAUCGAGGGCGCGUGCCGCAAGGCAAUUCUGCAGACAACAUUCUGCCGAGUGUGUGGACAUUGAUAAUGAGAGCAAUCAAGUGCCUUAAGGGUGUUCGGUGGAUGCCUUGGCGCUGAGAGGCGAUGAAGGACGUGCUACGCUGCG